RNAcentral lists this ribosomal RNA (439 nucleotides) under uncultured prokaryote. RNAcentral's name for it is "bacterial SSU rRNA". It matches the Rfam family "Bacterial small subunit ribosomal RNA", at positions 355 to 796 of the family's 1533-position model. The record is from RNAcentral.
UCGAGAAUCUUCGGCAAUGCGCGAAAGCGUGACCGAGCAAUGCCGCGUGCGGGAUGAAGGCCUUCGGGUUGUAAACCGCGAAAGUAAGGAGGAAGGCUCUGUGAAGAGCAGAGUUUGACCGAUUUACAGUAAGGACGGGCUAAGUUCGUGCCAGCAGCCGCGGUAAGACGAACCGUCCAAACGUUAUUCGGAAUUAUUGGGCUUAAAGGGUGCGUAGGCGGCGCGGCAAGUCAGGUGUGAAAUCCCACGGCUCAACCGUGGAACUGCGCUUGAAACUGCCGUGCUCGAGGGAGACAGAGGUAAGCGGAACUGAUGGUGGAGCGGUGAAAUGCGUUGAUAUCAUCAGGAACACCAGUGGCGAAAGCGGCUUACUGGGUCUCUUCUGACGCUGAGGCACGAAAGCUAGGGUAGCGAACGGGAUUAGAUACCCCCGUAGUCC